AUUGAACGCUGGCGGCAUGCUUUACACAUGCGAGUCGAACGGUAACAGGCCUUCGGGUGCUGACGAGUGGCGAACGGGUGAGUAAUGCAUCGGAACGUACCCAGAGGUGGGGGAUAACGCAGCGAAAGCUGUGCUAAUACCGCAUGUGAUCUGAGGAUGAAAGCGGGGGACCGAGCAGCAAUGUUUGGCCUCGCGCCUUUGGAGCGGCCGAUGUCGGAUUAGCUAGUUGGUGGGGUAAAGGCCUACCAAGGCGACGAUCCGUAGCUGGUCUGGGAGGACGACCAGCCACACUGGGACUGAGACACGGCCCAGACUCCUACGGGAGGCAGCAGUGGGGAAUUUUGGACAAUGGGCGCAAGCCUGAUCCAGCAAUGCCGCGUGCGGGAAGAAGGCCUUCGGGUUGUAAACCGCUUUUGGCAGGAACGAAACGGUGUCCGCUAAUACCGGGCGCUAAUGACGGUACCUGCAGAAUAAGCACCGGCUAACUACGUG
This 492-nucleotide ribosomal RNA is filed under the name uncultured bacterium. Its description in RNAcentral is "partial 16S ribosomal RNA". It matches the Rfam family "Bacterial small subunit ribosomal RNA", at positions 29 to 507 of the family's 1533-position model. The record is from RNAcentral.